GCCUCGCCCUGCCCCUUUCCACCCCGCCUGCCAGUGCUGCCUGCGCGUACUAGGGCCGUCCUCGCUUCAAAUAUUCCUCCCCACAGCACGGAAGUGGUAGGGAAAUUCCAACCCUUUUCCCCCAGAUGGCCUCUGAGGCCCAGAGGCAGAAAAAAAUAAUCCCCCGUCAGGCAGUCCUGAAUUGUCCUUGAAAAAAACAGCUGUUAGAUUGAAAGCUCAUUGAAGGCAGGAACCAUGUUCUCAUCGCUGAGCCAAUUCCCUUCCUUCUUCACUAUGACCAUCUUCCUCCCCAGCCCAAAGUAGGUCGAUGCAUAGUAGGAUCUAGAAAAAACUUCAUAGCCGUGAGCCAGUGAGUUUGCAGUUUAACACGGACUCUAAAGCCAGAAUGCUGGCCAGCCACUUCCAUGGGUGAAAGACUACUCUUGGCUGCAAGCUUCAUUUUCCUCAUCUCUGAAAUGGGGGUGAUACUAUCUAACUCAGAGAUAUAUGGACACGAAUGAAAAGGGCACAUGGACAGUACUGAGUGGGUUCGUUGCCAUUAUCGCGUGGGGCCGGAGAAGCCCGGUCGUUGCACGGACACGUCUCGGCCGAGGCUGUUGUUCUCAAUCCAGCUCAGAAACUGGCUCAAACCGCCCUGAACUGGAUUUGGUGGCUGUUGAGACACAGUUUCUGCCUCUUUGUUAGGGCGGAUCCGGCCUCCUUCGCUCUUCGGUUUCCCUCCCUCCUGCUUUCCCGGAGUCACCGACAGCCCUUCCCCUCCCCCUCGCCUCUCCAGUUGGGCAUUUUCUUUCUUUUAUCUUCUUUUUUUUUUUUUUUUUUUUUUUUACCCUUCCCUGGGCCCAGGCCCCACGAGGUCGAUUAAAUUCUUUAAUAAAAUAGUGGAUUCCGGCUGCAAAUCCUCAGCUUCCAUCCAUGAAUUGUUCAGUUCUGCUU
Canis lupus familiaris (dog) is the source of this 933-nucleotide long non-coding RNA. RefSeq lists it as uncharacterized. NCBI's taxonomy places the organism in Eukaryota, Metazoa, Chordata, Mammalia, Carnivora, Canidae. The record is from RefSeq and is a predicted model, not a curated record. The transcript is spliced from 3 exons.